Molecule: microRNA precursor, 94 nt
Filed under: Marmota monax (woodchuck)
Lineage: Eukaryota; Metazoa; Chordata; Mammalia; Rodentia; Sciuridae
Source: RNAcentral
AAUGUAAUCGCUAUGUCAUGUGGUAACUCUAUGUUUGAAGAAAUGCUAGAUUCUUUCUAAGGUGGCUGUACAAUUUUACAUUCUUAUCAGCAAU